CUUAAGAUAGCUCGGCUGAUAGAGCAAAGGACUGAAAAUCAUCGUGUCACCGGUUCAAAUCCGAUUCCUUAUA
This 73-nucleotide transfer RNA is filed under the name Eucalyptus grandis. It matches the Rfam family "tRNA". Rfam says of the family: Transfer RNA (tRNA) molecules are approximately 80 nucleotides in length. Their secondary structure includes four short double-helical elements and three loops (D, anti-codon, and T loops). The record is from Rfam by way of RNAcentral. Lineage: Eukaryota; Viridiplantae; Streptophyta; Magnoliopsida; Myrtales; Myrtaceae.